Long non-coding RNA from Cygnus olor (mute swan), 368 nucleotides. RefSeq lists it as uncharacterized. The record is from RefSeq and is a predicted model, not a curated record. The transcript has 3 exons. Lineage: Eukaryota; Metazoa; Chordata; Aves; Anseriformes; Anatidae.
CUCAUCUGCAAUGGAGUAGGCUGGGUGCCAGGUAGACAGUGCCCAGAGGGGAAUGUUUUCUUCUCUCUGCCAAGUUUAUUACAUGUGGGAACAAAAAUAUUAACUGGAAAUAAGAGAUCUCCGGACUUCAGAAAAUCUUCAGAGUACAUGAGGAAAAGAGAAUGUUGUAUAUUAGACAAAGACAAUAGGACUGUGAAAAGUAGCAUAGAGCCUUUGUUUCCACAGAUGUGUGAAUGAUUGGGUGAAGUUGUCCUCUGGUGGUUAAGAUAUUCAAAUACCCAAUCAUUUACUGCUAAGGGCAGAAAACUGGGCUGGUAUUCAGGAAACUGGGAUUUCAUUUCCAAAGCUGUGUCGACCUGAUGGAUGAC